AGCUGUCAGAAGGUCACAGUAGCCUGAUGCUCCAUGACAACCUGUGCGCCAUUCAUCCUUCAACACACUUCAUCUCAUCGUGGUGGCCUUUUGUCAUUUCCCAUCACCACAAGAAGAAGGUUCCACGGUAACAGCUUUACUCCUGAAAGGAAGGGAGGGUGGGAACAGUGGAAGUACCUGCCAGAGGCGGAGAGAGAACGUGAGCGAACGUUUUGGAGGCGAAGACCAUCUGUACAUGGUUUCCUUCUCCUGCCGACAAAAG
Molecule: long non-coding RNA, 262 nt
Filed under: Mustela putorius furo (domestic ferret)
Lineage: Eukaryota; Metazoa; Chordata; Mammalia; Carnivora; Mustelidae
Description: lncRNA (ENSMPUG00000027796.1)
Source: RNAcentral